This 1343-nucleotide ribosomal RNA is filed under the name uncultured bacterium. Its description in RNAcentral is "16S ribosomal RNA". It matches the Rfam family "Bacterial small subunit ribosomal RNA", at positions 28 to 1378 of the family's 1533-position model. The record is from RNAcentral.
GACGAACGCUGGCGGCGUGCUUAACACAUGCAAGUCGAACGGAAAGGCCCUGCUUUUGUGGGGUGCUCGAGUGGCGAACGGGUGAGUAACACGUGAGUAACCUGCCCUUGACUUUGGGAUAACUUCAGGAAACUGGGGCUAAUACCGGAUAGGAGCUCCUGCUGCAUGGUGGGGGUUGGAAAGUUUCGGCGGUUGGGGAUGGACUCGCGGCUUAUCAGCUUGUUGGUGGGGUAGUGGCUUACCAAGGCUUUGACGGGUAGCCGGCCUGAGAGGGUGACCGGCCACAUUGGGACUGAGAUACGGCCCAGACUCCUACGGGAGGCAGCAGUGGGGAAUAUUGCACAAUGGGCGGAAGCCUGAUGCAGCAACGCCGCGUGCGGGAUGACGGCCUUCGGGUUGUAAACCGCUUUCGCCUGUGACGAAGCGUGAGUGUCGGUAAUGGGUAAAGAAGCACCGGCUAACUACGUGCCAGCAGCCGCGGUGAUACGUAGGGUGCGAGCGUUGUCCGGAUUUAUUGGGCGUAAAGGGCUCGUAGGUGGUUGAUCGCGUCGGAAGUGUAAUCUUGGGGCUUAACCCUGAGCGUGCUUUCGAUACGGGUUGACUUGAGGAAGGUAGGGGAGAAUGGAAUUCCUGGUGGAGCGGUGGAAUGCGCAGAUAUCAGGAGGAACACCAGUGGCGAAGGCGGUUCUCUGGGCCUUUCCUGACGCUGAGGAGCGAAAGCGUGGGGAGCGAACAGGCUUAGAUACCCUGGUAGUCCACGCUGUAAACGGUGGGUACUAGGUGUGGGGUCCAUUCCACGGGUUCCGUGCCGUAGCUAACGCUUUAAGUACCCCGCCUGGGGAGUACGGCCGCAAGGCUAAAACUCAAAGGAAUUGACGGGGCCCCGCACAAGCGGCGGAGCAUGCGGAUUAAUUCGAUGCAACGCGUAGAACCUUACCUGGGUUUGACAUGGAUCGGGAGUGCUCAGAGAUGGGUGUGCCUCUUUUGGGGUCGGUUCACAGGUGGUGCAUGGCUGUCGUCAGCUCGUGUCGUGAGAUGUUGGGUUAAGUCCCGCAACGAGCGCAACCCUUGUUCACUGUUGCCAGCACGUUAUGGUGGGGACUCAGUGGAGACCGCCGGGGUCAACUCGGAGGAAGGUGGGGAUGACGUCAAGUCAUCAUGCCCCUUAUGUCCAGGGCUUCACGCAUGCUACAAUGGCUGGUACAGAGAGUGGCGAGCCUGUGAGGGUGAGCGAAUCUCGGAAAGCCGGUCUCAGUUCGGAUUGGGGUCUGCAACUCGACCUCAUGAAGUCGGAGUCGCUAGUAAUCGCAGAUCAGCAACGCUGCGGUGAAUACGUUCCCGGG